GUGCUCACUUUGGCAGCACAAAUAGAAAGUUGGAAUGAUACAGAGAUUACCAUGGCUCUUGCACAAGGAUG
RNAcentral lists this small nuclear RNA (71 nucleotides) under Nannospalax galili (Upper Galilee mountains blind mole rat). The record is from RNAcentral. Lineage: Eukaryota; Metazoa; Chordata; Mammalia; Rodentia; Spalacidae.